Molecule: long non-coding RNA, 1427 nt
Filed under: Amborella trichopoda
Lineage: Eukaryota; Viridiplantae; Streptophyta; Magnoliopsida; Amborellales; Amborellaceae
Description: long non-coding RNA (ATRI_LNC000758)
Source: RNAcentral
AUGAGGAAAAGCGUGCUAUAUGCUACUAGGCAUAAACACUAUCUCCCAACUAUGCUACUAGGCAUAAACACUAUCUCCCAACCAUCCGAUUUGUAUGGAUAGCUAGGAUAGCUUUAGUCGUAAUGUCACAAGUGCACUCUUUAAUCUAGAUGUGCCAUGUCAGAGUCUUUUAUUUUUAAUUUUUCUAUAAAUUACAUAAACAUGAAAUUUGAUGCAUGUUAUCAUCUCAAUGGGGUGCAUCUAAAAAAAUAUGAAAAGAUAUUUUCAAAAAUAUAAAAUAACCAAAUUUACUCCUAAAACUUUCAUUGGCAUCUGUCAUUUUAUUUUUCUUAGGGUUUUUUUUUUAUUUUUUUUGUAGGUGUGAGCCUAUGAAAAUGUGACGUCUCAAAUUUAGUGUCAAUAUGAUUUGUAGAAAAAAUUUAAAAAUAAAAUAGAGUUUAGGGGUGAAAUUGUGAUUGCAGAAAGCUCACUCAAAUAGGAAAUGUGAAAAGAGCUAGUGCUCACACAGGAACAUAAUGUGCAUUUGCUCCCAAGGGUAAAAUUCAUGUUACACAUAUUUUUUGGACCUCAGAAUUUCAGGAUGUAGCCUAUACAACCACCCAAUAACCAAGCUCAAAAUAAAAUAGAAAAAGGGAUUCUCCAUGUGCUUCAAAAAAUCGACGUCCUGAGAUUGGACAAGAACCAUCCAAUUUGGGAGGGCAAGAUUUAGGUUCUCAAGAAUUACAAAUCUUUUUUGCUUUUUUUCUUGAAAAUAAUCAUUUGAAGAUAUUUGGAUCCCAAAAUUCCAGAUAAAUAAAAUCUUCCCAAGGGACUCUUUUGCCCAAGAGCAUGUUGUAUGCUCAUAUUUAAAACGAAAAGAUAUUACUCUUCGACAUGAGUUUACUGUCCAUGUACACCUUCGAAUAAAACCUCAUGUAUGAUUAAUUUUAGGACCAUUCAACCUCUUAUACCCAUGGAUUAACCUCAAUAAAAAACUACUGCUAAUUACACCCUCUAUGCAUUUUAAUAAUUUAUUAGAGACUGUCCAAUUUUAUAGGGUAAGAUCAAAGUGAUAGAAAAAUCUCAAAAUUUUCUUUUGCGAAUCAACAUUUAGUGAUGGUUCCCAAAAUUUCAGAUUGAAAAAUUCCUCCAAAGUAGAGGGAGUAGAUGUAAACUAUUACGCACUCAUUUUUAAAGUUUGAAACUAGAACAUGAUUUUUUAGUAAAUUUUUUAAGGGUAAGAUAAAAAAAUAAGUAAAUAUCGUAAAAAUAAAGGGAAGGUUUACCAUGCUACAUAUUGUAAAUUUAUCGUUAUGUUACACAUGGUUGUCCACCCUAGAUUCUCAACCAUGGACUGUGAGGGCUUCUAUUUGGUGUAAUAUCCCAUCAAGGAUAACUGCGCGGCUCUAAGAGAUGGUACACUCACCAUGGCUACCUGGAAGGCUUCU